GUUGCAUCUAUGAAUUAAGAUCUCUCUUAAUUCAUAAUUAUCCUAAAUUAACUAAUUAUUAAUCCUUUUAUCUUAAUUAAUUCUUAAUUAAAUACUAAUAACAGUAAUUAAGUAUUAAUGCCAAAUAAUAAUUAAAUGCCAAAGGCCAUUAAGGUUAAUGACCUUAGGUCAUCACACAAUCCCAAAAUCACUCAACCCUAAUUAUGAGGAUUUAACUAAUUAUUAUCUAAUUAUUUUGGAAUUAUUAUUUAAUUACUAAAUAGGGGUUUAAUAAUAUUUCAUUCAAACAUUAUCCAAAUGCCACCAAAUUUUGUGUGGAGCCAGGGAAUAAUAUUUAGAGGCAUCCCACAAAUUUUGGUGAUUUUUGGACAUAUCACUAAAUUAUUAAAAUUCAUAAAAUUUUUGUUCAUUAAAUAAAAGAGGCAAUUUUUAUACAAAUAUUCCAGAAAAGGAAACCUACUAUUUUUCUUGUGUUCUACUUAUUUCAUGGGACCUAUACAAAAAAUUUCAUCAUUUUUAGAGCAGCACAUAAUUUAUUACACAACAUCAAACAUAAAUAAAAAACUGCAGAAAAAGAAAAAGAAUAAAAACAAAACUAUGCCGCGAGCCGGGCGGGUCCCGCCCGUCAGAUCCUCCUCCUACCUCCCUCCAUCGGCUCGGCCGACCGCCGGCACGCCGUCGGUGAGCCUCCGGCUCCUGUGGCGGGGUGGUUUAGCGUCUACGGCCCUUUGCGCAUACUCUGGGACCCUCAGAUCAAGCGCUAUCCCUCUCUAACCCCCAUGCCCGCGUCCAUGGCGGACGGCGAGGCUAUCGGCGCACGCACCAGCCACUACAAGUGGGUAGAACACGAACCAACCAGCGCAUAAGCUUCAGGGGCUCACCACGACUCCGACAAGGUAGAACGCGGCGGUUGAAAAGCUCGGGGAAAGGCUGGCCACGGCGAGGUGCUUGCGGCGGUGCUUUGGCCGGAGUUGGAGAGGGGAAUGGCUCGGGUUGGAGCUACGGUAGGGUAGAGCGUGUGUUUGGGGGCGCAAUCGAUGGCUACGAGCUUGGCGAAGCUAUGGGAGUGCUCGGAUGGCUCAGAAGGGAAGCAGGCGAGGGGAAUUUUAGGGGCGCAGCAAGGUCGUCGGCGUCGGGCGAAAAAAAAAAGAAAAGCAAGGCUGCCGCGCAGUGGGAGCACCGAGGGGAGUGGAUGAGCACGCCGGGGACUUGUCCACUUCACGGCGGGCUCGUGCAGCCAAGCAGCUGCGUGGCUAGGCACGUGGCGGCGCGCGCGAAGGCGGCUCUGCUCCGGC
Molecule: long non-coding RNA, 1295 nt
Filed under: Sorghum bicolor (sorghum)
Lineage: Eukaryota; Viridiplantae; Streptophyta; Magnoliopsida; Poales; Poaceae
Description: long non-coding RNA (SBIC_LNC014148)
Source: RNAcentral